This is a non-coding RNA of Podarcis lilfordi (Lilford's wall lizard), 81 nucleotides long. Lineage: Eukaryota; Metazoa; Chordata; Lepidosauria; Squamata; Lacertidae. The record is from the annotation of a GenBank genome assembly.
GGGGUUGUGGCUCAGUGGUGGAGCACAUAGAGCACUUUGCAUCCAAAAAGGACCCAGGUUCAAUCCCUGCCUGAGAUCCUA